UGUUGGGGCUGAUCACAAUGGCUCUGAUGGACCCGCCCCUGGAAUUCAUCCUCUGUCUGGGCCCCGCCCACUCUGGCCACGUGACUCACUUCAACCAAUACAGCAGCGCACAAGGGAUGCUGCGCCAAUUCUGGGGCUAAGCCUUCCUUAAAGGUGUUUUUGCACUUUGGGGAACCCUGAGCUGCCAUGUUAAAAGUCCAGCUACCUGGAGAGAUGCCAUGAAGAGGUCACGUUGAGCGGGAGAAGCCCUGAGGCUACACAGGGAGAGAAGGAGAGACAGACGGACAGAGAGAGAAGAGAGGCAGGGAGCCCCCGCGGAGCCCUCUCCAUCACUCCAGUUGUCCCAGCCUUGGGACAGGGGUUGCUGACCCAGAGCCUCCGUUCUGAAUGACCUGAAGCUCACGAUACACAAAUUCCCACUCGACGAGCGUCUUUUCUGCAGAGAGAGGGUACUGAAGGUCAGCGGCUGCAGUAGCACGUGACUCAUCCUUAUAGAGGGAGAUGUGUGCUCAGCCGCUCAGUCAUGUCCGACUCUGGACCCCACAGACUGCAGCCCGCCAGGCUCCUCUGUCUCCAGGAUUUUUCAGAGUUUGGAUCCAGUCAUUCUGACAAAAUCCUUUUGUCAUCGCACAAAGCCUGGGAUUAAAGACUCCAUCCGCGGAUUAUUUUCUACAUAUGGCUGCACUGGAUUAUGGUGCCAGAGAGGGAGAAACAACAGCCCCACGCUUGUCUGCAAAGUGCGGGCAGCCCUCCCCAUGGCUCCUCUGCUCGUCCUGCCCUGGCCGUGGCCAUGCCUGCCUGCCCUUGAGGAAGGAGGACCAAGGCACUAAGGUGUUCUCAGUGGGGCUGAGUGCCUCUGUCAGCUCAGGGCAACACAAGACCCUCAAACUCGGGGGCUCAAAUCAGCUGCUCCUUUGUCCUACGGCUCAGCUGGGUGGUUCUCCAGUCUUGGGGUCUUCUCACUCGUUGGUGGGAAGCCCCGGGAGUACGCAGCUUUGCUGGCUCUGUCUGUCUCUCCCCCAACUCUUGGGCCUAGACUGGACUGACUGGGCUGACUCCCUGACUCUCCACGUGCUUAGCCCAGGCAGGCUGGCCUGGACUUCGUCCUGGGAGUGGCAGGGUGCCACCACCCCCUCCCUGUCUGGUUCUUUGCAAAGCAGCUAUGAAGAAUUUUAGAGGCAGGUACCACAGGGGCCUGUGAGUCAAUUCUUAGAAUAGGACGUGAUCAUCUCUUCUGGGAAGAAGGGUUUGCAGCCACUGCUGAUUCCUGACUGAGUCAUGGGUGCCUUUAUCAGGAGGCGGGAGAGCACGGCUUAGGUGCCUGUGAGCUGGGUGUGUGCGUCUGCUUCUUAACCUUCACCAUUCACAGCCCUGUGCUCACUGCACCCUCUGGAUGAGCCAGUGGGCUGGGAAGGAAGCUUGGAGCCAACGUGACUAACAAUUUCUAAAUUCUCUAGGUGGCAAUUAUAGGGAAUAAAGAGAAAGGCAUAAUUUCAAAACUUUCUAACAGCGUUGCUCUGGGUAUCUCUGGUUAUCUUCUUAACUCAUUUUAAGAGCUCUAACUAUGUGCCAGGCAAGGCUGGGAUCUUUAGAAACAUGAUUUUAUUUACUUUUACACAGCCUUGUGAGAUGGACAUGAUUAUGCACUCUGGGGCGCAGAGAGGUCAUGUGAUUUGCCUAAAAUCACACAGUUGGAAUGAGUUAAGCCCAGAUGGGAGCUCACGCCCAACUCCAAAGCCAAGUCCUUCCACCUCCAUACGAUUCUGUAACAAUGCACUUUGUCUCCCGCCCGGAGCUGGGAAGAAUCCGUCUAUUUUCUGAGAAUGAGCAUGUCAGUGAGUUCGUUCACAGGACUGGGUGCCCGCCAUGGGAACUGUCUGGCUUUAGGCACUGGAGAGCAGGCUCUCAGGACAGGCUAUGCCCUCCAGAAG
This is a long non-coding RNA of Bos taurus (domestic cattle), 1931 nucleotides long. Lineage: Eukaryota; Metazoa; Chordata; Mammalia; Artiodactyla; Bovidae. The record is from Ensembl.